GGUUGUGGCUCAGUGAUAUAGCACUUUCCUAGCACGGAUGAGGCCCUAGGUUCGAUCCUCAGCACCA
RNAcentral lists this transfer RNA (67 nucleotides) under Marmota monax (woodchuck). RNAcentral describes it as "tRNA.Ala". The record is from RNAcentral. Lineage: Eukaryota; Metazoa; Chordata; Mammalia; Rodentia; Sciuridae.